AUUGAACGCUGGCGGCAUGCUUUACACAUGCAAGUCGAACGGUAGAGGGGGCAACCCCUUGAGAGUGGCGAACGGGUGAGUAAUGCAUCGGAACGUGCCCAGUCGUGGGGGAUAACGCAGCGAAAGCUGUGCUAAUACCGCAUACGAUCUCUGGAUGACAGCGGGGGACCGAAAGGCCUUGCGCGAUUGGAGCGGCCGAUGGCAGAUUAGGUAGUUGGUGGGGUAAAGGCUCACCAAGCCAACGAUCUGUAGCUGGUCUGAGAGGACGACCAGCCACACUGGGACUGAGACACGGCCCAGACUCCUACGGGAGGCAGCAGUGGGGAAUUUUGGACAAUGGGCGCAAGCCUGAUCCAGCAAUGCCGCGUGCAGGAAGAAGGCCUUCGGGUUGUAAACUGCUUUUGUACGGAACGAAAAGGUCUGGGUUAAUACCCUGGGCACAUGACGGUACCGUAAGAAUAAGCACCGGCUAACUACGUGCCAGCCGCCGCAGUAA
This 496-nucleotide ribosomal RNA is filed under the name uncultured bacterium. RNAcentral's name for it is "partial 16S ribosomal RNA". It matches the Rfam family "Bacterial small subunit ribosomal RNA", at positions 30 to 523 of the family's 1533-position model. The record is from RNAcentral.